Long non-coding RNA from Acanthochromis polyacanthus (spiny chromis), 1195 nucleotides. RefSeq lists it as uncharacterized. Lineage: Eukaryota; Metazoa; Chordata; Actinopteri; Pomacentridae. The record is from RefSeq and is a predicted model, not a curated record. The transcript has 3 exons.
CCCAGCCGGCGCUGCUCCUGUGACCUCCAGCAGCGAAGAUGAUCGUCCAGAGGAAGGUCAUGAUGAAGCAGAAGACGGAGACGAACAUCACCCACCCCAGAGGGUUUGGAGGGUCCACAUGAGUGGAGGCUACCAGGAUCCAAACCAAACCACCAAACACCUGCAGAAGGACAGAUGGAGUUCUUCCAUCGAAUGGCAGAGAAAAUGGUGUGAAGGAAGUAGAGAAGAGUGGCGACGUAGGACAUGACCUGAAAACAGACGGAGAGAAACCAGAUGGAUGAUAAUGAGCCUGAGGGACGGCCAGAUGCUGCUCUGAUUGGCUCCGCAGAGGAAGAUGAAGAACCAGAGCGUCGUCCCCACGAAGCAGAAGAUGGAGACGAACAUCACCCAGCCCAGAGGGUUUUCAGGAAUCACCCGACUGGAAGCCACCAGGAUCCACACCAAACCUCCAAACACCUGCAGCAGAGAGCGACGGAUGUAGAAGUACGUUUAGAGGAUGAACACAUUCCUAAUCAGUAAACUGGAGAUAAAAGCUGAUCUGUUGUUGCUUCACUGUUUCCAACAAACAACAGCUAGAAAACAUCAGUGAACACUGAGACAUUUCUGAACCUGCAAAAGACAAAUUAGAAAUGAAACUAUGGCUGAAACUGAUGUAGUAGAAUAAGACUAAGCAGACUAUUAUUAUUAUUAUUAUUAUUAUUAUUGUUAUUGUUAUUAUUAUUUCUAUAAUUAUUAUUAUUAUUGUUAUUAUUGUUAUUAUAACUUAUGCUAAAACUGUAAAUAAUAUAUUAAUUAUUGCCACACAGAUUCUGUUAAAUUGCAGAUAAAAUCUGGUAAAAUCAACAAAAAAUGGUUCAUUUACAUGUUUUUCAUAAAAACAAAAAAAUUGAAAAUUGAAAAAUGGUGAAAAUUUUUCACUACAAGUUGAUUUUAAAAAUCUGAAAUUUUCACAAAAUGAUUUGCAAAUUUUACCGUAUUUAAAUAGUAUAAAAAUCUAAUUAUUUUCUGGGUGUUUACUGUUUGUAAAAAGAAAAAAAUACCUCUAUAAAUUAUUCUUUUACAGAUGUUCCCUUAGCUGUUAAACUGCAGAUAAUAUCUGGUACAACCACAAAAAAAAAUCUAUAUUAAUUUCCAUGUUAAUCAUAAAAAUAAAGGAACAACUCAAUAAUAAUAAUAAAAACUGGCCAUAACUGUU